Molecule: ribosomal RNA, 830 nt
Filed under: uncultured organism
Description: bacterial SSU rRNA
Rfam family: Bacterial small subunit ribosomal RNA
Source: RNAcentral
UGCCAGCAGCCGCGUAAGACGAAGGUGGCUAGCGUUGUUCGGAAUCAUUGGGCUUAAAGAGCAUGUAGGCGGCCCAUUUAGCGUCAUGUGAAAUCCCUCGACUCAACCGAGGAACUGCAUGGCGAACUGGUGGGCUUGAGGCAAGUAGAGGCGUGUGGAACUCUUGGUGGAGCGGUGGAAUGCGUAGAUAUCAAGAGGAACGCCGGUGGCGAAGGCGACACGCUGGGCUUGUCCUGACGCUGAGAUGCGAAAGCCAGGGGAGCGAACGGGAUUAGAUACCCCGGUAGUCCUGGCCCUAAACGAUGUCCACUAGGUCGGAGGUUCUCUGACGGAGUUCCGGCCGAAACAAAAGCGUUAAGUGGACCGCCUGGGGAGUACGGUCGCAAGGCUAAAACUCAAAGGAAUUGACGGGGGCUCACACAAGCGGUGGAGCACGUUGCUUAAUUCGAUGCAACGCGAAGAACCUUAUCCUGGGCUUGACAUGUACGGAUGCCUACUGGGAAACCAGGUCGGUUGCCCUUCGGGGUGAAACGUACACAGGUGCUGCAUGGCUGUCGUCAGCUCGUGUCGUGAGAUGUUGGGUUAAGUCCCGUAACGAGCGAAACCCUUGUCGCUAGUUGCCAGCGGUUCGGCCGGGGACUCUAGCGAGACUGCCGGUGUUAAACCGGAGGAAGGUGGGGAUGACGUCAAGUCCUCAUGGCCUUUAUGCCCAGGGCUGCAAACGUGCUACAAUGACCGGAACAAACCGACGCGAGACCGCGAGGUGGAGCAAAUCGGAAAAAUCCGGCCCCAGUUCGGAUUGCAGUCUGCAACUCGACUGCAUGAAGUUG